Long non-coding RNA from Mustela lutreola (European mink), 604 nucleotides. RefSeq lists it as uncharacterized. The transcript has 3 exons. Lineage: Eukaryota; Metazoa; Chordata; Mammalia; Carnivora; Mustelidae. The record is from RefSeq and is a predicted model, not a curated record.
UUUGCAGACUCCUGAACUAAGGCACUGAUACUGAAUACUGAGUUUCAAGAAGGAAAAAAAAGGACAGAGCCCUUAUGUCAUGCAAGGAUGUCUUUCUGCAGCAAUCCCUUGCUUCAUUUGAUGUGAAGUGUUACAGCAAACCUGGCUGAAGAAGGAGAUCUAAAGUAUGUUAGAAAAACAACAAAUCAUAAUGCAUAGAUGCUGGGCCAGAAUGCAGAGCUUAUAAAUGAAUACCAAUAGAGCACUAUGAGAACAAAUGGACUCUUGCCAAUUCCCCAGUCACUCAUUUUGUAAACUUUCUAUUUUUUGCUCUCCUCCUGGGACUAAAUCAAACCUAUGAAGUGCUACUGCGUAAUUCCCCUUCAUCUUGUACUGAAAAGUGCUCUUCCACCUGCAAUCUGAUGUACAAUCGAAAAUUUCAAGCUGUUAAUAAACAGCAUGGAUUCCUGGGUCAGAAAGCUGACCAUCUGUGUGCCAAACACCUGGGUAUAAAGAAUGAAGCUGCUCAUUAUUGAUUCAGAACAUGAAUAUAAAUUGGAUUACUCUGGAAUGUUAACAGACAACACAUCAGAAGGUGCUAAUAAACCCACAACUUCACACAGUG